GCCGGGAUGGCGAAAUUGGUAGACGCGACGGACUCAAAAUCCGUUGGGCGAAAGCCCGUGGGGGUUCGAGUCCCCCUCCCGGUA
This 84-nucleotide transfer RNA is filed under the name Acidimicrobiia bacterium. RNAcentral describes it as "tRNA-Leu". It matches the Rfam family "tRNA". From Rfam's summary of the family: Transfer RNA (tRNA) molecules are approximately 80 nucleotides in length. Their secondary structure includes four short double-helical elements and three loops (D, anti-codon, and T loops). The record is from RNAcentral. Lineage: Bacteria; Bacillati; Actinomycetota; Acidimicrobiia.